CCCUGCGGUCAAGAAGAACCCUCAUGUCAUUCUCAGAGGAGAAAAAGAGAAAAGUAAAGUGUUAUCUGUUUAAUUUGACAGCCUUGAAUGGAGCUUGCAUCCUCCAAUAGACCACGGUACCCUUCCCAGCAUCCUACAUGGAGCCCAGGCAGGCAUCUAUGUCACCUGCCUGGACCCUGUGCGGACAUUUCAGCUUUAGCCCCUGAUCAUAGUCCUUUAUCAGGAAUAAUAAUGCAGCUUUACUUUAUACGGGAAAUGGAGAAUAAAACCUCAACAAAUG
Long non-coding RNA from Orcinus orca (killer whale), 280 nucleotides. RefSeq lists it as uncharacterized. The transcript has 3 exons. NCBI's taxonomy places the organism in Eukaryota, Metazoa, Chordata, Mammalia, Artiodactyla, Delphinidae. The record is from RefSeq and is a predicted model, not a curated record.